AGCAAUAUGAAGGUCAGGCUGAAGACCUUACCCGAUUAGCUGAGAGGUGGUGCAUGGCCGUCGUCAGUUCGUACUGUGAAGCAUCCUGUUAAGUCAGGCAACGAGCGAGACCCACGUCCACAGUUGCCAGCAUACCCUCCGGGGUGAUGGGUACACUGUGGAGACCGCCGCUGCUAAAGCGGAGGAAGGAGUGGGCAACGGUAGGUCAGUAUGCCCCGAAUCUCCCGGGCUACACGCGGGCUACAAUGGUUGGUACAAUGGGCAUCUACCCCGAAAGGGGAAGGAAAUCUCUUAAAGCCAAUCGUAGUUCGGAUUGAGGGCUGCAACUCGCCCUCAUGAAGCUGGUAUCCGUAGUAAUCGCGUUUCAACAGAACGCGGUGAAUACGUCCCUGCUCCUU
Molecule: ribosomal RNA, 398 nt
Filed under: uncultured Methanosaeta sp.
Lineage: Archaea; Methanobacteriati; Methanobacteriota; Methanomicrobia; Methanotrichales; Methanotrichaceae
Description: bacterial SSU rRNA
Rfam family: Archaeal small subunit ribosomal RNA
Source: RNAcentral